GGAAUAUUGGACAAUGGGCGCAAGCCUGAUCCAGCCACGCCGCGUGUGUGAUGAAGGCCUUCGGGUCGUAAAGCACUGUGGAGGGGGACGAAACCGUAGCGGGAAUAAUACCUCGUUGCAUUGACGGUACCCCUUUAGCAAGCACCGGCUAACUCCGUGCCCGCAGCCGCGGUAAUACGGAGGGUGCAAACGUUGCUCGGAAUUAUUGGGCGUAAAGCGCGUGUAGGCGGCUCGCUAAGUCGAGCGUGAAAGCCCUGAGCUCAACUCAGGAAUUGCGUUCGAUACUGGCAAGCUAGAGUACGGGAGAGGGUAGCGGAAUUCCCGGUGUAGAGGUGAAAUUCGUAGAUAUCGGGAGGAACACCAGUGGCGAAGGCGGCUACCUGGACCGAUACUGACGCUGAGACGCGAAAGCGUGGGGAGCA
This 422-nucleotide ribosomal RNA is filed under the name uncultured bacterium. RNAcentral describes it as "bacterial SSU rRNA". It matches the Rfam family "Bacterial small subunit ribosomal RNA", at positions 358 to 770 of the family's 1533-position model. The record is from RNAcentral.